This 500-nucleotide ribosomal RNA is filed under the name uncultured bacterium. Its description in RNAcentral is "partial 16S ribosomal RNA". It matches the Rfam family "Bacterial small subunit ribosomal RNA", at positions 30 to 523 of the family's 1533-position model. The record is from RNAcentral.
AUUGAACGCUGGCGGCAUGCCUUACACACGCAAGUCGAACGGCAGCACGGGAGCAAUCCUGGUGGCGAGUGGCGAACGGGUGAGUAAAGUAUCGGAACGUGCCCAGUCGUGGGGGAUAACGUAGCGAAAGUUACGCUAAUACCGCAUACGAUCUAUGGAUGAAAGCGGGGGAUCGCAAGACCUCGCGUGAUUGGAGCGGCCGAUAUCAGAUUAGGUAGUUGGUGGGGUAAAGGCUCACCAAGCCGACGAUCUGUAGCUGGUCUGAGAGGACGACCAGCCACACUGGGACUGAGACACGGCCCAGACUCCUACGGGAGGCAGCAGUGGGGAAUUUUGGACAAUGGGCGAAAGCCUGAUCCAGCCAUGCCGCGUGCAGGAUGAAGGCCUUCGGGUUGUAAACUGCUUUUGUACGGAACGAAAAGGUUUGGCCUAAUAAGCUGAGCUCAUGACGGUACCGUAAGAAUAAGCACCGGCUAACUACGUGCCAGCAGCCGCUGUAA